This 1189-nucleotide ribosomal RNA is filed under the name uncultured bacterium. RNAcentral describes it as "bacterial SSU rRNA". It matches the Rfam family "Bacterial small subunit ribosomal RNA", at positions 222 to 1399 of the family's 1533-position model. The record is from RNAcentral.
AAGAGCGGCCGAUAUCUGAUUAGCUAGUUGGUGGGGUAAUGGCCUACCAAGGCGACGAUCAGUAGCUGGUCUGAGAGGACGACCAGCCACACUGGAACUGAGACACGGUCCAGACUCCUACGGGAGGCAGCAGUGGGGAAUUUUGGACAAUGGGCGCAAGCCUGAUCCAGCCAUUCCGCGUGAGUGAAGAAGGCCUUCGGGUUGUAAAGCUCUUUCGCAAGGGAAGAAAACUUACUUUCUAAUAAAGAGUGAGGCUGACGGUACCUUGAUAAGAAGCACCGGCUAACUACGUGCCAGCAGCCGCGGUAAUACGUAGGGUGCGAGCGUUAAUCGGAAUUACUGGGCGUAAAGCGUGCGCAGGCGGUUUGGCAAGUCAGAUGUGAAAUCCCCGAGCUCAACUUGGGAACUGCGUUUGAAACUGCCAGACUAGAAUAUGUCAGAGGGGGGUAGAAUUCCACGUGUAGCAGUGAAAUGCGUAGAGAUGUGGAGGAAUACCAAUGGCGAAGGCAGCCCCCUGGGAUAAUAUUGACGCUCAUGCACGAAAGCGUGGGGAGCAAACAGGAUUAGAUACCCUGGUAGUCCACGCCCUAAACGAGCUUUUUUAAUUGGUGGUGGAGUAAAAUACCACGAGUAACGCCAGCUAACGCGCGAAGUAGACCGCCUGGGGAGUACGGUCGCACGAUUAAAACUCAAAGGAAAUGACGGGGGCCCGCACCAGCGGUGGAUUAUGUGGAUUAAUUCGAUGCAACGCGAAAAACCUUACCUGGCCUUGACAUGCCACUAACGAAGCAGAGAUGCAUUAGGUGCCCGAAAGGGAAAGUGGACACAGGUGCUGCAUGGCUGUCGUCAGCUCGUGUCGUGAGAUGUUGGGUUAAGUCCCGCAACGAGCGCAACCCUCGCCAUUAAUUGCCAUCAUUUAGUUGGGCACUUUAAUGGGACUGCCGGUGACAAACCGGAGGAAGGUGGGGAGGACGUCAAGUCCUCAUGGCCCCUAUGGCCAGGGCUUCACACGUAAUACAAUGGUCGGUACAGAGAGUUGCCAAGCCGCGAGGUGGAGCUAAUCUCAGAAAGCCGAUCGUAGUCCGGAUUGUUCUCUGCAACUCGAGAGCAUGAAGUCGGAAUCGCUAGUAAUCGCGGAUCAGCAUGUCGCGGUGAAAAAAUUCCCGGGCCGUGCCCUCCCCGCCCGUCA